UGGAGAGUUUGAUCCAGGAUCAGAUUGAACGCUGGCGGCAGGCCUAACACAUGCAAGUCGAGCGGUUGAGGUAGCUUGCUACCGAUGCAGCGGCGGACGGGUGAGUAAUACAUGGGAAUCUGCCUGGUAGUGGGGGACAACGUUUCGUAAGGAACGCUAAUACCGCAUACGCCCUACGGGGGAAAGGGCGGGAUCUUCGCACCUCUCGCUAUCAGAUGAGCCCAUGUCGGAUUAGCUACUUGGUGGGGUAAAGGCUCACCAUGGCGACGAUCCGUAACUGGUCUGAGACGAUGAUCAGUCACACUGGAACUGAGACACGGUCCAGACUCCUACGGGAGGCAGCAGUGGCGAAUAUUGGACAAUGGGCGCAAGCCUGAUCCAGCCAUGCCGCGUGUGUGAAGAAGGCCUUAGGGUUGUAAAGCACUAUCAGUGGGGAGAAAGGUAAUUCACAUAAUACGUGAGUAAAUUGAUGUUACCCACAGAAGAAGCACCGGCUAACUCCGUGCCUGCAGCCGCGGUA
This 520-nucleotide ribosomal RNA is filed under the name uncultured bacterium. RNAcentral's name for it is "bacterial SSU rRNA". It matches the Rfam family "Bacterial small subunit ribosomal RNA", at positions 1 to 522 of the family's 1533-position model. The record is from RNAcentral.